UACGGAGGGGGCUAGCGUUGUUCGGAAUUACUGGGCGUAAAGCGUGCGCAGGCGGUUUUGUAAGCCAGAUGUGAAAUCCCCGGGCUCAACCUGGGAAUGGCAUUUGGGACUGCAAGGCUGGAGUACGGCAGAGGAGACUGGAAUUCCUGGUGUAGCAGUGAAAUGCGUAGAGAUCAGGAGGAAUACCGAUGGCGAAGGCAGGUCUCUGGGCUGAUACUGACGCUCAUGCACGAAAGCGUGGGGAGCAAACAGG
RNAcentral lists this ribosomal RNA (253 nucleotides) under uncultured bacterium. Its description in RNAcentral is "partial 16S ribosomal RNA". It matches the Rfam family "Bacterial small subunit ribosomal RNA", at positions 524 to 776 of the family's 1533-position model. The record is from RNAcentral.